CUAUUCCUGCGAUGUGCGUUACGGUGCCUAUUGUUUUGAACCAAUGUUUGUUUCCCGGGAGCCCUACAUUGCGCUGCGGCUGACACGCCCCCGAAACGGGUAGUCAAAAGCAGGCGCUGCGCGCACCCACCUGCCAAAGCAGGUUCAGAAACAUGCACGCCGGACGGCAAAGCGGGUUUUUC
Molecule: non-coding RNA, 182 nt
Filed under: Cohnella sp.
Lineage: Bacteria; Bacillati; Bacillota; Bacilli; Caryophanales; Paenibacillaceae
Description: 6S RNA
Rfam family: 6S / SsrS RNA
About the family: E. coli 6S RNA was the first non coding RNA to be sequenced, but its function was unknown until recently. It consists of 184 nucleotides that fold into an extended hairpin structure with a large single-stranded internal bulge.
Source: RNAcentral